UUAUUUUAUUUAUUGAAAAGCUUGGACUUGUCUUUUAAACCCUUUUGAGCAAAAUAUGUUUAUCAAUUAUGGGUUAGGGCUAGUGAAGAUUAGAAAAAUGGCAUCCAAGUCAUUCAAAUAUGAUCGGCUAUGAAUUUUGGCUCCAUCUUUUCUUUCUCCCAUGGGUCAUCUUAUCCCCUUAUAAAUAGACCACAGACCCACUCUAACAGCAACAAAAGUUCCUGUCUUCUCUGCUUCAAAGUUCAAGCUCUUCUUUGAAGCCUCUUCUGGCAUAUCAGCUGGGCUACUCAUCAAGAAACAGAUCAAACAUUAAACACAAAGCCCUCUUUUCCAUUUCCUCGGCAUCUGUCUGCUAUUUCUCACUCUGUGCAAUCCAGAGAUGACAAGGCCAGCACAGUAUAUGGUGUAUCGCAUAAACUUGUUCCAGGCGGACCAAAUCCACUUCACAAUUGAUGGAAUUUUCCAUUAUCCAGCUUGUUUCCGGGAAGAACUCACAGGUUUCUCUUGUAGCUAGGAAAAAAAAAAAAAAAAAGAAAGAAGAAGAAGAAGAAGAAGAAGAAUAAAUCAUCCACAGUUUUCUUUUUGUAGUUGGUUCCUGAAAAUAAUGAUAGGGAAAGAAAAAGAAAGAUGCUCAAAAAUGGCUUCUUCCAUAGGAUCUAAUGUACUUCUCAGUUCUUUCCUUCAUUCUUUCCACGAACCAGCUUGUUUGGAGUUGUAAAAUGCUAUAUGUAUUACUAUCGAAAAGAGUAUCAUGGAUUUACCAUGUUAACUUAAAUCUCGAGAAAAAUAUAAGUUCAUUUUGUGUUA
Hevea brasiliensis (rubber tree) is the source of this 807-nucleotide long non-coding RNA. RefSeq lists it as uncharacterized. Lineage: Eukaryota; Viridiplantae; Streptophyta; Magnoliopsida; Malpighiales; Euphorbiaceae. The record is from RefSeq and is a predicted model, not a curated record. The transcript has 2 exons.